AGUGAACGCUGGCGGUAGGCCUAACACAUGCAAGUCGAACGGCAGCACAGUAAGAGCUUGCUCUUACGGGUGGCGAGUGGCGGACGGUUGGGGAAUACAUCGGAAUCUACUUUUUCGUGGGGGAUAACGUAGGGAAACUUACGCUAAUACCGCAUACGACCUACGGGUGAAAGCAGGGGAUCUUCGGACCUUGCGCGAUUGAAUGAGCCGAUGUCGGAUUAGCUAGUUGGCGGGGUAAAGGCCCACCAAGGCGACGAUCCGUAGCUGGUCUGAGAGGAUGAUCAGCCACACUGGAACUGAGACACGGUCCAGACUCCUACGGGAGGCAGCAGUGGGGAAUAUUGGACAAUGGGCGCAAGCCUGAUCCAGCCAUACCGCGUGGGUGAAGAAGGCCUUCGGGUUGUAAAGCCCUUUUGUUGGGAAAGAAAAGCAGCAGGUUAAUACCCCGCUGUUCUGACGGUACCCAAAGAAUAAGCACCGGCUAACUUCGUG
RNAcentral lists this ribosomal RNA (492 nucleotides) under uncultured bacterium. RNAcentral's name for it is "partial 16S ribosomal RNA". It matches the Rfam family "Bacterial small subunit ribosomal RNA", at positions 29 to 507 of the family's 1533-position model. The record is from RNAcentral.